CCUACGUGUGUCAGCAGUGGGGGAUAUUGCACAAUGGGGGAAACCCUGAUGCAGCGACGCCGCGUGGGUGAAGAAGCGCCUCGGCGCGUACAGCCCUGUCAGCAGGGAAGAAAAUGACGGUACCUGAAGAAGAAGCCCCGGCUAACUACGUGCCAGCAGCCGCGGUAAUACGUAGGGGGCAAGCGUUAUCCGGAUUUACUGGGUGUAAAGGGGGCGCAGACGGCGAUGCAAGCCAGGAGUGAAAGCCCGGGGCCCAACCCCGGGACUGCGCUUGGAACUGCGUGGCGAGAGUGCAGGAGGGGCAGGCGGAAUUCCUGGUGUAGCGGUGAAAUGCGUAGAGAUCAGGAGGAACACCGGUGGCGAAGGCGGCCUGCUGGACUGCAACUGACGUUGAGGCCCGAAAGCGUGGGGAGCAAACAGGAUUAGAUACCCCGGGAGUC
This 440-nucleotide ribosomal RNA is filed under the name uncultured bacterium. RNAcentral's name for it is "partial 16S ribosomal RNA". It matches the Rfam family "Bacterial small subunit ribosomal RNA", at positions 338 to 795 of the family's 1533-position model. The record is from RNAcentral.